ACGGCGAGUGAAGCGGCAAGAGCUCAAAUUUGAAAUCUGGCGCCCUCGGUGCUCGAGUUGUAAUUUGGAGAGGCACUUUGGGGUGAGGCGCUGGUCCAAGUUCCCUGGAACGGGACGCCGCAGAGGGUGAGAGCCCCGUACCCGGCCAGCGGUCCGAGCCCGUGUCAUGUGUCUUCGACGAGUCGAGUUGUUUGGGAAUGCAGCUCAAAAUGGGUGGUAAAUUUCAUCUAAAGCUAAAUACAGGCGGGAGACCGAUAGCGCACAAGUAGAGUGAUCGAAAGAUGAAAAGCACUUUGAAAAGAGAGUUAAAAAGUACGUGAAAUUGUUGAAAGGGAAGCGCUUGAGAUCAGAACUGGGCGGCGGGUGAUCAGCGGUGCUUUUGCGCCGUGCACUCGCCCGUCGCCUGGCCAGCACCGGUUGGUGCGGCAGGAGAAAGGCCUGCGGGAAUGUGCCUCCCCCUCGGGGGAGUGUUAUAGCCCCGGGCGCAAUGCUGCCCGCGCCGACCGAGGGAUGCGCUACGGCUAGGAUGCUGGCGUAAUGGUCUUCAGCGACCCGUCUUGAAACACGGACCAAGGAGUCUAACAUCUAUGCGAGUGUUUGGGUCCGAAAACCCUUGCGCGUAAUGAAAGUGAAUGGAGGUGGGAACCCAUCUAGGGUGCACCAUCGACCGAUCCUGAUGUCCUCGGAUGGAUUUGAGUAGGAGCAUAGCUGUUGGGACCCGAAAGAUGGUGAACUAUGCCUGAAUAGGGUGAAGCCAGAGGAAACUCUGGUGGAGGCUCGCAGCGGUUCUGACGUGCAAAUCGAUCGUCAAAUUUGGGUAUAGGGGCGAAAGACUAAUCGAACCAUCUAGUAGCUGGUUCCUGCCGAAGUUUC
This 873-nucleotide ribosomal RNA is filed under the name Psilopezia deligata. Its description in RNAcentral is "eukaryotic LSU rRNA". It matches the Rfam family "Eukaryotic large subunit ribosomal RNA", at positions 86 to 970 of the family's 3401-position model. The record is from RNAcentral. Lineage: Eukaryota; Fungi; Ascomycota; Pezizomycetes; Pezizales; Rhizinaceae.